RNAcentral lists this ribosomal RNA (301 nucleotides) under uncultured bacterium. RNAcentral describes it as "partial 16S ribosomal RNA". It matches the Rfam family "Bacterial small subunit ribosomal RNA", at positions 509 to 809 of the family's 1533-position model. The record is from RNAcentral.
CAGUAGCCACGGUAAUACGUAGGGUGCAAGCGUUAAUCGGAAUUACUGGGCGUAAAGCGUGCGCAGGCGGUUAUAUAAGACAGAUGUGAAAUCCCCGGGCUCAACCUGGGAACUGCAUUUGUGACUGUAUAGCUAGAGUACGGCAGAGGGGGAUGGAAUUCCGCGUGUAGCAGUGAAAUGCGUAGAUAUGCGGAGGAACACCGAUGGCGAAGGCAAUCCCCUGGGCCUGUACUGACGCUCAUGCACGAAAGCGUGGGGAGCAAACAGGAUUAGAUACCCGGGUAGUCCCUGUCUCUUAUCC